UCCGUAGGGUGAACCUGCGGAAGGAUCAUUAUUGAUUGGUCGAAAGACCUUAUCAGAUUCUACCACCUCUGUGAACCGUUGACCUCCGGGUUAAUAAUCAAACAUCAGUGUAACGAACGUAAGAGUAUCUUAAUUAAACAAAACUUUUAACAACGGAUCUCUUGGCUCUCGCAUCGAUGAAGAACGCAGCGAAAUGCGAUAAGUAAUGUGAAUUGCAGAAUUCAGUGAAUCAUCGAAUCUUUGAACGCACCUUGCGCCUUUUGGUAUUCCGAAAGGCAUGCCUGUUUCAGUGUCAUGAAAUCUCAAUCUAAUAUGUUUUCUGAACAUGUUAGGCUUGGACUUGGGUGUCUGCCAGCAAUGGCUCACCUCAAAUGACUUAGUGGAACAUCCCACAUCAGUGUUAGACGUAAUAAGUUUCGUCUCUCCUUGUGGUGAUGACUGCUCAAAACCUGCCAUCGCGCACCUUUUGACUUUGACCUGAAAUCAGGUAGGGCUACCCGCUGAACUUAAGCAUAUCAAUAGGCGGAGGA
RNAcentral lists this ribosomal RNA (530 nucleotides) under Papiliotrema flavescens. RNAcentral describes it as "eukaryotic LSU rRNA". The stretch from base 142 to 295 matches the Rfam family "5.8S ribosomal RNA". The record is from RNAcentral. Lineage: Eukaryota; Fungi; Basidiomycota; Tremellomycetes; Tremellales; Rhynchogastremaceae.